Molecule: ribosomal RNA, 441 nt
Filed under: uncultured bacterium
Lineage: Bacteria
Description: partial 16S ribosomal RNA
Rfam family: Bacterial small subunit ribosomal RNA
Source: RNAcentral
CCUACGGGAGGCAGCAGUGGGGAAUAUUGCGCAAUGGGGGAAACCCUGACGCAGCAACGCCGCGUGAGUGAAGAAGUACCUCGGUAUGUAAAGUUCUUUCAGCGGGGAAGAAGGCAGUCGGUACCCGACUCAGAAGCCCCGGCUAACAACGUGCCAGCAGCCGCGGUAAUACGGAGGGGGCGAGCGUUAUCCGGAUGUACUGGGCGUAAAGGGAGCGUAGACGGUGUCGCAAGUCAGGAGUGAAAGCCCGUGGCUCAACCGCGGUACCGCAUUUGAAACUGGGAGGCUGGAGUGGUGGAGGGGUAGGCGGAAUUCCAGGUGUAGCGGUGAAAUGCGUAGAUAUCGGGAGGAACACCGAUGGCGAAGGCAGCAUACUGGACAUGGACUGACGCUGAGGCGCGAAAGCGUGGGGAGCGAACAGGAUUAGAUACCCCAGUAGUC